RNAcentral lists this ribosomal RNA (234 nucleotides) under Triticum aestivum (bread wheat). RNAcentral describes it as "partial small subunit ribosomal RNA". The record is from RNAcentral. Lineage: Eukaryota; Viridiplantae; Streptophyta; Magnoliopsida; Poales; Poaceae.
AUGGGGAGCGGGAAGAAGAGGGCGGCGCUUGCGUCCCUGUUCGGGUUCAAGAACAAGAGACAGCAGCAUGUGGCGGCAGCGCCGCAGCAGAGGUACCAGCAUCACAGGGUGCGGCCGAGCGACGACGACGACUACGCCCGGCACUGGUACGCCGAACGCGACAUCGACCGGAAGGCCUCCGAGUUCAUCGACAAGGUCCACCGCCGGAUGCUCGCCAACGAGCAGGACGGAUAG